Molecule: long non-coding RNA, 169 nt
Organism: Octopus sinensis (East Asian common octopus)
Lineage: Eukaryota; Metazoa; Mollusca; Cephalopoda; Octopoda; Octopodidae
Exons: 3
Source: RefSeq, a predicted model, not a curated record
CACCAAUGAUGCUCCUUGAUAACUAUUUAAAAAGGUCUGGAUCAAUUUCCAACUGUUCUUUCAGUUCACGACAUGCAUUCAGUCAUAACUACUUUUGAUCUUCUAUGAGCAAGUGAGGCACAAAUUUUACAGCAACUCUUUUCAUUUGCAAUUCUUCACUUAAAAUUCG